AGUCGUACGCUUCUUUUUCCACCGGAGCUUGCUCCACCGGAAAAAGAGGAGUGGCGAACGGGUGAGUAACACGUGGGUAACCUGCCCAUCAGAAGGGGAUAACACUUGGAAACAGGUGCUAAUACCGUAUAACAAUCGAAACCGCAUGGUUUUGAUUUGAAAGGCGCUUUCGGGUGUCGCUGAUGGAUGGACCCGCGGUGCAUUAGCUAGUUGGUGAGGUAACGGCUCACCAAGGCCACGAUGCAUAGCCGACCUGAGAGGGUGAUCGGCCACAUUGGGACUGAGACACGGCCCAAACUCCUACGGGAGGCAGCAGUAGGGAAUCUUCGGCAAUGGACGAAAGUCUGACCGAGCAACGCCGCGUGAGUGAAGAAGGUUUUCGGAUCGUAAAACUCUGUUGUUAGAGAAGAACAAGGAUGAGAGUAACUGUUCAUCCCUUGACGGUAUCUAACCAGAAAGCCACGGCUAACUACGUGCCAGCAGCCGCGGUAAUACGUAGGUGGCAAGCGUUGUCCGGAUUUAUUGGGCGUAAAGCGAGCGCAGGCGGUUUCUUAAGUCUGAUGUGAAAGCCCCCGGCUCAACCGGGGAGGGUCAUUGGAAACUGGGAGACUUGAGUGCAGAAGAGGAGAGUGGAAUUCCAUGUGUAGCGGUGAAAUGCGUAGAUAUAUGGAGGAACACCAGUGGCGAAGGCGGCUCUCUGGUCUGUAACUGACGCUGAGGCUCGAAAGCGUGGGGAGCAAACAGGAUUAGAUACCCUGGUAGUCCACGCCGUAAACGAUGAGUGCUAAGUGUUGGAGGGUUUCCGCCCUUCAGUGCUGCAGCUAACGCAUUAAGCACUCCGCCUGGGGAGUACGACCGCAAGGUUGAAACUCAAAGGAAUUGACGGGGGCCCGCACAAGCGGUGGAGCAUGUGGUUUAAUUCGAAGCAACGCGAAGAAACCUUACCAGGUCUUGACAUCCUUUGACCACUCUAGAGAUAGAGCUUCCCCUUCGGGGGCAAAGUGACAGGUGGUGCAUGGUUGUCGUCAGCUCGUGUCGUGAGAUGGUUGGGUUAAGUCCCGCAACGAGCGC
This 1071-nucleotide ribosomal RNA is filed under the name Enterococcus faecium. Its description in RNAcentral is "bacterial SSU rRNA". It matches the Rfam family "Bacterial small subunit ribosomal RNA", at positions 60 to 1099 of the family's 1533-position model. The record is from RNAcentral. Lineage: Bacteria; Bacillati; Bacillota; Bacilli; Lactobacillales; Enterococcaceae.